CCUACGGGGGGCAGCAGUGGGGAAUAUUGGGCAAUGGAGGAAACUCUGACCCAGCAACGCCGCGUGAAUGAUGAAGGUCUUCGGAUUGUAAAGUUCUUUUCUAAGGGAAGAAGAAAGUGACGGUACCUUAGGAAUAAGCCUCGGCUAACUACGUGCCAGCAGCCGCGGUAAUACGUAGGAGGCGAGCGUUAUCCGGAUUUACUGGGGGUAAAGGUUGCGUAGGUGGCAGGGCAAGUCAGAUGGGAAAGCCCGGGGCCCAACCCCGGUACUGCAUGUGAAACUGUCCGGCUGGAGUGCAGGAGAGGUAAGCGGAAUUCCUAGUGUAGCGGUGAAAUGCGUAGAUAUUAGGAGGAACACCAGUGGCGAAGGCGGCUUACUGGACUGUAACUGACACUGAGGCACGAAAGCGUGGGGAGCAAACAGGAUUAGAUACCCUUGUAGUC
Molecule: ribosomal RNA, 443 nt
Filed under: uncultured bacterium
Lineage: Bacteria
Description: partial 16S ribosomal RNA
Rfam family: Bacterial small subunit ribosomal RNA
Source: RNAcentral